RNAcentral lists this ribosomal RNA (717 nucleotides) under Bacillus subtilis. RNAcentral's name for it is "bacterial SSU rRNA". It matches the Rfam family "Bacterial small subunit ribosomal RNA", at positions 36 to 735 of the family's 1533-position model. Lineage: Bacteria; Bacillati; Bacillota; Bacilli; Caryophanales; Bacillaceae. The record is from RNAcentral.
CUCCAGUGCGCUGCUAUACAUGCAAGUCGAGCGGACAGAUGGGAGCUUGCUCCCUGAUGUUAGCGGCGGACGGGUGAGUAACACGUGGGUAACCUGCCUGUAAGACUGGGAUAACUCCGGGAAACCGGGGCUAAUACCGGAUGCUUGUUUGAACCGCAUGGUUCAAACAUAAAAGGUGGCUUCGGCUACCACUUACAGAUGGACCCGCGGCGCAUUAGCUAGUUGGUGAGGUAACGGCUCACCAAGGCAACGAUGCGUAGCCGACCUGAGAGGGUGAUCGGCCACACUGGGACUGAGACACGGCCCAGACUCCUACGGGAGGCAGCAGUAGGGAAUCUUCCGCAAUGGACGAAAGUCUGACGGAGCAACGCCGCGUGAGUGAUGAAGGUUUUCGGAUCGUAAAGCUCUGUUGUUAGGGAAGAACAAGUACCGUUCGAAUAGGGCGGUACCUUGACGGUACCUAACCAGAAAGCCACGGCUAACUACGUGCCAGCAGCCGCGGUAAUACGUAGGUGGCAAGCGUUGUCCGGAAUUAUUGGGCGUAAAGGGCUCGCAGGCGGUUUCUUAAGUCUGAUGUGAAAGCCCCCGGCUCAACCGGGGAGGGUCAUUGGAAACUGGGGAACUUGAGUGCAGAAGAGGAGAGUGGAAUUCCACGUGUAGCGGUGAAAUGCGUAGAGAUGUGGAGGAACACCAGUGGCGAAGGCGACUCUCUGGUCU